RNAcentral lists this ribosomal RNA (468 nucleotides) under uncultured bacterium. RNAcentral's name for it is "partial 16S ribosomal RNA". It matches the Rfam family "Bacterial small subunit ribosomal RNA", at positions 28 to 507 of the family's 1533-position model. The record is from RNAcentral.
GACGAACGCUGGCGGCGUGCUUAACACAUGCAAGUCGAACGGAAAGGCCCUGCUUUUGUGGGGUGCUCGAGUGGCGAACGGGUGAGUAACACGUGAGUAACCUGCCCUUGACUUUGGGAUAACUUCAGGAAACUGGGGCUAAUACCGGAUAGGAGCUCCUGCUGCAUGGUGGGGGUUGGAAAGUUUCGGCGGUUGGGGAUGGACUCGCGGCUUAUCAGCGUGUUGGUGGGGUAGUGGCUUACCAAGGCUUCGACGGGUAGCCGGCCUGAGAGGGUGACCGGCGACAGGGGGACUGAGACACGGCGCAGACUCCUAAGGGAGGCAGCCGCGGGGGAGAGUGCGCAAUGGGCGCAAGUGUGAUGCAGCGACGCCGCGGGAGGGGGGACGGCCUUCGGGGUGGAAAAAGCAGUCAGGAGGGACGAAGCGAAAGUGACGGUACCGGGAGAAGAAGCAACGGCUAACUACGUG